AGUGAACGCUGGCGGUAGGCCUAACACAUGCAAGUCGAACGGCAGCACCGUAAGAGCUUGCUCUUACGGGUGGCGCGUGGCGGACGGGUGAGGAAUACAUCGGAAUCUACUUUUUCGUGGGGGAUAACGUAGGGAAACUUACGCUAAUACCGCAUACGACCUACGGGUGAAAGCAGGGGAUCUUCGCACCUUGCGCGGUUGAUUGAGCCGAUGUCGGAUUAGCUAGUUGGCGGGGUAAAGGCACACCAAGGCGACGAUCCGUAGCUGGUCUGAGAGGAUGAUCAGCCACACUGGAACUGAGACACGGUCCAGACUCCGACGGGAGGGAGCAGUGGGGAAUAUUGGACAAUGGGCGCAAGCCUGAUCCAGCCAUACCGCGUGGGUGAAGAAGGCCUUCGGGUUGUAAAGCCCUUUUGUUGGGAAAGAAAAGCAGCAGGUUAAUACCCCGCUGUUCUGACGGUACCCAAAGAAUAAGCACCGGCUAACUUCGUG
This 492-nucleotide ribosomal RNA is filed under the name uncultured bacterium. RNAcentral's name for it is "partial 16S ribosomal RNA". It matches the Rfam family "Bacterial small subunit ribosomal RNA", at positions 29 to 507 of the family's 1533-position model. The record is from RNAcentral.